RNAcentral lists this ribosomal RNA (200 nucleotides) under uncultured bacterium. RNAcentral's name for it is "partial 16S ribosomal RNA". It matches the Rfam family "Bacterial small subunit ribosomal RNA", at positions 334 to 525 of the family's 1533-position model. The record is from RNAcentral.
UACUCCUACGGGAGGCAGCAGGCUAGAAAUUUGGGCAAUGGGGGAAACCCUGACCCAGUGACGCCGCGUGCAGGAAGGAGCCCUUCGGGGUGUAAACUGCUGUCGUGUAGGGAGAAGGGUACUAAGGUGAACAAUCUUAGUACUUGACGGUACUACAGGAGGAAGCCCAGGCUAACCUCGUGCCAGCAGCCGCGGUAAUA